Molecule: ribosomal RNA, 253 nt
Filed under: uncultured bacterium
Lineage: Bacteria
Description: partial 16S ribosomal RNA
Rfam family: Bacterial small subunit ribosomal RNA
Source: RNAcentral
UACGGAGGGGGCUAGCGUUGUUCGGAAUUACUGGGCGUAAAGCGCGCGUAGGCGGACCUGCAAGUCGGGGGUGAAAGCCCGAGGCUCAACCUCGGAACUGCCUUCGAUACUGCGGGUCUCGAGUCCGGGAGAGGUGAGUGGAAUUCCGGGUGUAGUGGUGAAAUGCGUAGAGAUCCGGAGGAACACCAGAGGCGAAAGCGGCGUCCUGGCUCACUGUUGACGCUCAGACACGAAAGCAUGGGGAGCGAACGGG